This 460-nucleotide ribosomal RNA is filed under the name uncultured bacterium. Its description in RNAcentral is "partial 16S ribosomal RNA". It matches the Rfam family "Bacterial small subunit ribosomal RNA", at positions 338 to 795 of the family's 1533-position model. The record is from RNAcentral.
CCUACGGGUGGCAGCAGUGAGGAAUAUUGGUCAAUGGACGAGAGUCUGAACCAGCCAAGUAGCGUGAAGGAUGACUGCCCUAUGGGUUGUAAACUUCUUUUGUAUGGGAAUAAAAUGUUCCACGUGUGGGAUUUUGUAUGUACCAUAUGAAUAAGGAUCGGCUAACUCCGUGCCAGCAGCCGCGGUAAUACGGAGGAUCCGAGCGUUAUCCGGAUUUAUUGGGUUUAAAGGGAGCGUAGGUGGUUUGUUAAGUCAGUUGUGAAAGUUUGCGGCUCAACCGUAAAAUUGCAGUUGAAACUGGCAGUCUUGAGUACAGUAGAGGUGGGCGGAAUUCGUGGUGUAGCGGUGAAAUGCUUAGAUAGCACGAAGAACUCCGAUUGCGAAGGCAGUUCACUGGACUGCAACUGACACUGAGGCUCGAAAGUGUGGGUAUCAAACAGGAUUAGAUACCCGAGUAGUC